RNAcentral lists this long non-coding RNA (264 nucleotides) under Carica papaya (papaya). RNAcentral's name for it is "long non-coding RNA (CPAP_LNC012418)". The record is from RNAcentral. Lineage: Eukaryota; Viridiplantae; Streptophyta; Magnoliopsida; Brassicales; Caricaceae.
CUGAAGAUCUUAUUUCAGCCAGGCACCAAUGUAUUGCCUGAGUUUGUACCCAACAACAACAACACCAACCCCAAUAACCAAGAAGAAGACUGUUUAACCUAGUUAGUAGCCAUCCUGAUAAAUGACCCAAGUUGUCCCUCUUCCUGCUUUACCUCCACCUACUAGACACCCUACCCGACCUAGCCAACCAUGUCAAUAUUGUCGAUGCUUACAUAGUGAUCAGCCCUGUUGGCAUUUGAACAAUGCUUCCUAUAAGUUCAGAAG